UGGUACCCCAAACAGAGCACCGUGUGGUGGUUUGGGUUUUUCCCCCAGUCCCAACUGACGGGCCUGGAUGUCUUCUAGCAGAGGGAAGCCACAGACAGACUUAAGGAUGGGGGGGGGGGGGGGGGGGCUUUAACCCUUCACUGCCUUAACCGAGGCGGAGUGCCUCGGGGCUUCAUUUCUUCCCCCAUCCUUCCCCAGAGCUUCCCCCUGGGCUUUGCCAACCCCCAACCUUCCUCAAGCCCCGGGAUCCCCCGCUCCGAGCCUGCCAAGCCUCACCAGAGCCCCUUCAGGUUUCCAGCCCGCGUCACAGAACCCUGAUCGAGGGAGGACCAGCAGAGGCAGCCAGGACCGCAAAGCUACUGGGGGGAGGGGGGAAGCCACCCCCGCCUCCUACCCCGGCACCUCCAGCCUGACUUGUUGAAUGGGGUAGGCAGCCCAGCUGUACACAGCGGCCAGUAUUACCACUGAAAGAACUUUCAUCACGGCUGGAAGGGAGGGAGGGGGAACCAAAGUUUCCUUUUGCCUGCCUCCCAACACCUCCCGGAGGGGGAGCAGGUGCUGAACUGGGAUGGGAGAGAAGGAGGGGAAGCGACCGAGGGAGCAAAGGGCCUCUAGAGCUCUCUUUUCCAAAGAACACCCCCCAGACCACCAGGAAAUGACUAGAGUCAGCUUCACCUGGCAAAGUCACCCCAGGAAAGUCUCUAAGUCUCCAAAGCACAAUGAAGGUGUCAGCCUGCACUGGGAAAAGGAGUUUCCUCACCUGAGAGCUGCCUUUGCCAAUGAAAUCCCAGGGCUCACCCUUUUCCCCUUAUAACCCAAUGAGGACCUGGCCAAUGGCACAUUUCAGAAGCUGAAUGAUGGCUUGUUGACUCAUUUGUUGGCCCCCUACCCCUUGGAAUGUAAGCCCUGGAGAGCAA
Monodelphis domestica (gray short-tailed opossum) is the source of this 917-nucleotide non-coding RNA. Lineage: Eukaryota; Metazoa; Chordata; Mammalia; Didelphimorphia; Didelphidae. The record is from RefSeq and is a predicted model, not a curated record.